This 589-nucleotide ribosomal RNA is filed under the name uncultured archaeon. RNAcentral's name for it is "partial 16S ribosomal RNA". The record is from RNAcentral.
UACCUCUCACCUCUCCCGGCCUCGAGCCGAACAGUAUCUCCUGAAAGCCCAACAUUGAGCUGCUGGAUUUCUCAAGAGACUUAUCCGGCCGGCUACAGACCCUUUAGACCCAAUAAUAACGGUUACCACUCGAGCCGCCGGUGUUACCGCGGCGGCUGGCACCGGUCUUGCCCGGCCCUUGCUAUGCAAUGCUUUUUAGGCAUCACGACAGCCAGAUUUGUAACCUGGCACUCGAGGUCCCCUUAUCGCCGCUGCCGGCAUUGUAAAGUUUUCGCGCCUGCUGCACCCCGUAGGGCCUGGAUUCGUGUCUCAGAAUCCAUCUCCGGGCUCUUGCUCUCACAACCCGUACCCGUCGUAGGCUAGUAGGUACGCUACACCCACUACUACCUGAUAGGCCGCAGACCCAUCCUCUGGCGCCGGAGCUUUCGAUCUCGGGGCAUUCCAGCGACCGAGAUCUAUCGGGGAUUAUACCCAGUUUCCCGGGUUUAUACCCGUCCGGAGGGUAGGUUGUCCACGUGUUACUGAGCAGUACGCCAUGUAUUGCUACAUUCGACUCGCAUGGCUUAGUCGAACCUCGAUAGCAGUAACC